RNAcentral lists this ribosomal RNA (207 nucleotides) under uncultured bacterium. RNAcentral's name for it is "partial 16S ribosomal RNA". It matches the Rfam family "Bacterial small subunit ribosomal RNA", at positions 568 to 774 of the family's 1533-position model. The record is from RNAcentral.
CGUGCAGGCGGUCUAGCAAGUUGGAUGUGAAAGCUCCCGGCUUAACUGGGAAAGGUCGUUCAAUACUGUUGGGCUAGAGAAUGGGAGAGGGAGGUGGAAUUCCGGGUGUAGUGGUGAAAUGCGUAGAUAUCCGGAGGAACACCAGUGGCGAAAGCGGCCUCCUAGACCAUUUCUGACGCUAAGACGCGAAAGCUAGGGUAGCAAACG